GGGGCAUUUGGCCAGGGGAAACCCUGAUGCAGCCAUGCCGCGUGAGUGAUGAAGGCUUCGGGUGGUAAAGCUCUUUCUGCAGGGAAGAAAUGGACAGGCCUAAUAGCCUGGGGACAUGACGGUCCCUGCCUAAUAAGCGCCGGCUAACUACGUGCCAGCAGCCGCGGUAAUA
RNAcentral lists this ribosomal RNA (172 nucleotides) under uncultured bacterium. RNAcentral describes it as "partial 16S rRNA". It matches the Rfam family "Bacterial small subunit ribosomal RNA", at positions 356 to 525 of the family's 1533-position model. The record is from RNAcentral.